This 914-nucleotide ribosomal RNA is filed under the name Salmonella enterica. RNAcentral's name for it is "partial 23S ribosomal RNA". It matches the Rfam family "Bacterial large subunit ribosomal RNA", at positions 436 to 1266 of the family's 2925-position model. Lineage: Bacteria; Pseudomonadati; Pseudomonadota; Gammaproteobacteria; Enterobacterales; Enterobacteriaceae. The record is from RNAcentral.
GUCUGAAUAUGGGGGGACCAUCCUCCAAGGCUAAAUACUCCUGACUGACCGAUAGUGAACCAGUACCGUGAGGGAAAGGCGAAAAGAACCCCGGCGAGGGGAGUGAAAAAGAACCUGAAACCGUGUACGUACAAGCAGUGGGAGCACAGGUUUACCUGUGUGACUGCGUACCUUUUGUAUAAUGGGUCAGCGACUUAUAUUCUGUAGCAAGGUUAACCGAAUAGGGGAGCCGGAGGGAAACCGAGUCUUAAUUGGGCGUUAAGUUGCAGGGUAUAGACCCGAAACCCGGUGAUCUAGCCAUGGGCAGGUUGAAGGUUGGGUAACACUAACUGGAGGACCGAACCGACUAAUGUUGAAAAAUUAGCGGAUGACCUGUGGCUGGGGGUGAAAGGCCAAUCAAACCGGGAGAUAGCUGGUUCUCCCCGAAAGCUAUUUAGGUAGCGCCUCGUGAAUUCAUCUCCGGGGGUAGAGCACUGUUUCGGCUAGGGGGCCAUCCCGGCUUACCAACCCGAUGCAAACUGCGAAUACCGGAGAAUGUUAUCACGGGAGACACACGGCGGGUGCUAACGUCCGUCGUGAAGAGGGAAACAACCCAGACCGCCAGCUAAGGUCCCAAAGUCAUGGUUAAGUGGGAAACGAUGUGGGAAGGCCCAGACAGCCAGGAUGUUGGCUUAGAAGCAGCCAUCAUUUAAAGAAAGCGUAAUAGCUCACUGGUCGAGUCGGCCUGCGCGGAAGAUGUAACGGGGCUAAACCAUGCACCGAAGCUGCGGCAGCGAACGUAUCACUUAAAGCGAUUCAGCGGGUUACGAUUGACGGAGCGAAGCGACGUCAAAGCGUAUACAAAGUCGAGUCGGUUUAAGGAUACGUUCGUUGGGUAGGGGAGCGUUCUGUAAGCCUGUGAAGGUGGCCUGUGA